CCCACUGGAGGCUGGGAUUUGAGAUGAGAGGUCACCCUCGGAGUUGGCUCCAGCUGCUGCCUCUGCCUGGGACCCCUCCUUGGGAGUUGGGUGGCAGGGCCUUGCUGGGGGCACUUCCCUUCGCAUCUGGAUUUUGGCCUCGGGCCCAGGGCUAUGGGGGUUUCCAGAGUGGUGACAGCCUUGUCCUAGCAGGGACCAGCCCAAGCACUUCCUCCCAGAGCCCUCUGGGAGCGUCCCAGCCCCAAGGCUGUCAUUUUGUCGUAGGGAGUAAAUUGUGGAGUCAGCAGAGGCUGUCUUCCACACUUUCUGUGCCUUCCAGGUAUCCUGUCAUUCCUCAUUCUGAAAACCUAGGCUUGCAUCUCUCUUGCCGUCCUGCUCGGGACUGUGAGAAGCCCUUUCAUUGAGCCUCUGCUGUUCAUGCUGUUUGACACCUUGCGUUUUCCAGUUAACGUUAUAUUUUGGAGACCACUCUACAUCAAUACAUAGAGUGUGUCCUCAUUUUCACAGCUGCACGGUAUUCCAGCACAAGGAUGUAUGGUAAUUUACAGAUGCACUUCUUGGCAGAGGGACCUUCAGGUUGCUUCCAGCCCUUUCUCAAGACAGGCCGUGCCGCAGUGAGUCAUCUGUACAAAAGCCCUUUCACACAUGCACGAGCGCUGCUGCGGAAUACAUUCCCAGAAGGGACUUGGGAGGACUGGGGGGCAAAAGAUACAUGCAGUGGUGUCUUAUUAUUGUUAUUUUAGAGACAGGGUCCUGCUCUGUCACCCAGGCUGGAGUACAAUGUACAAUGGUGUCAUCAUAGCUGACUGCAGCCUCGACCUCCUGGGCUUAAGCCAUCCUCCCGCCUUGGCCUCCUGCGUGGCUGGGACUACAGGCACGCACCACCGUGCCCAGCUUGCAGUGGUCAUUUUGUCAGCUCUGUCAGCUUGUCCUUCUUGGAGACUGUGCCAGGUACCAGGCCCCCACACAGUCAACAGGGCUGUUUCUCCUCAGGCUCACCAGCCCCUGGUUUCCACCUAUUUUGAUUUUUGUCCAUCUGAAAGGCAAAAACUAAACAAAACAAAGGAAUUUGGGUGUAGUUAGAGUUUGCGUUUCUCUUACGAUGCGUGAGGCUGGUCACCUUUUCAUUUGCUUAAGAGCCACAUGUGUUUCUUUUUGGUGAAUGAACUGCAGAAUUUCUGCAGAGGUGGUGCCGGGCAGCUUUGGAGAGGGGGGCCUGGAGGGAGGCCAGACUAGAGGCAGAGGCCACUUCUGGGGACAGUUAGCGUAGAAGGGAGAGAAAAUUUGGUCCUGAAGAGUGGUGUGAGAGCUGGAGAUGGAGAUGAUGAAGUUGAAAGGCUGAGAUUAGGUGAUAGCCUCCCCUGAGCCCCUCUCCCCUCAAACCACCCCUUUGCUACAUGCUACCAGGUACUGAGGCUGCACCUGGGACUCCUCUUAAGUUGGUCCUUGUUGGGUGGUCAGGGUGAGGCACAGGGGGUGGGAGGCAAACCCUUCCAAGAUUCUCUGGGGCAGAAAGAAUCAGGUCCAAAUGCCUUAGCAAGACUUCACAAUCUGGCUCUGAAGCACCAUUCCGGGCCCAUCACUGCCUCCCUUCCCUUUCCCUCUUUUCUUUUACCCCUCUCUCGCCCUCUGUCCCUCCUCCCUCCCUCUCUUUGCCUUGUCAAGCGUCCACUAUUCAUAAUAGUCCACAAGGGGAAAAACCCGACAGUGGAUGCACUGAUAAAAUACCGUAUAGCCAUACAGUGGGAUCUUAGCCAU
RNAcentral lists this long non-coding RNA (1758 nucleotides) under Homo sapiens (human). RNAcentral describes it as "non-protein coding lnc-SLC25A45-2:1". The record is from RNAcentral. Lineage: Eukaryota; Metazoa; Chordata; Mammalia; Primates; Hominidae.